AGUGAACGCUGGCGGUAGGCCUAACACAUGCAAGUCGAACGGCAGCACAGUAAGAGCUUGCUCUUACGGGUGGCGAGUGGCGGACGGGUGAGGAAUACAUCGGAAUCUACUUUUUCGUGGGGGAUAACGUAGGGAAACUUACGCUAAUACCGCAUACGACCUACGGGUGAAAGCAGGGGAUCUUCGGACCUUGCGCGAGUGAAUGAGCCGAUGUCGGAUUAGCUAGUUGGCGGGGUAAAGGCCCACCAAGGCGACGAUCCGUAGCUGGUCUGAGAGGAUGAUCAGCCACACUGGAACUGAGACACGGUCCAGACUCCUACGGGAGGCAGCAGUGGGGAAUAUUGGACAAUGGGCGCAAGCCUGCUCCAGCCAUACCGCGUGGGUGAAGAAGGCCUUCGGGUUGUAAAGCCCUUUUGUUGGGAAAGAAAAGCAGCAGGUUAAUACCCCGCUGUUCUGACGGUACCCAAAGAAUAAGCACCGGCUAACUUCGUG
RNAcentral lists this ribosomal RNA (492 nucleotides) under uncultured bacterium. RNAcentral describes it as "partial 16S ribosomal RNA". It matches the Rfam family "Bacterial small subunit ribosomal RNA", at positions 29 to 507 of the family's 1533-position model. The record is from RNAcentral.